Molecule: ribosomal RNA, 253 nt
Filed under: uncultured bacterium
Lineage: Bacteria
Description: partial 16S ribosomal RNA
Rfam family: Bacterial small subunit ribosomal RNA
Source: RNAcentral
UACGUAGGGUGCGAGCGUUAAUGGGAAUUACUGGGCGUAAAGCGUGCGCAGGCGGCUUUGCAAGACAGAUGUGAAAUCCCCGGGCUCAACCUGGGAACUGCAUUUGUGACUGCAAGGCUAGAGUACGGCAGAGGGGGAUGGAAUUCCGCGUGUAGCAGUGAAAUGCGUAGAUAUGCGGAGGAACACCAAUGGCGAAGGCAAUCCCCUGGGCCUGUACUGACGCUCAUGCACGAAAGCGUGGGGAGCAAACAGG